Molecule: ribosomal RNA, 293 nt
Filed under: uncultured bacterium
Lineage: Bacteria
Description: partial 16S ribosomal RNA
Source: RNAcentral
GGACUACUGGGGUAUCUAAUCCUGUUCGCUCCCCACGCUUUCGCUCCUCAGCGUCAGUACCGGCCCAGAGUGCUGCCUUCGCUGUUGGUGUUCCUCCUGAUAUCUGCGCAUUUCACCGCUACACCAGGAAUUCCACACUCCCCUACCGGACUCCAGUCACCGCAGUAUCGGAAGCGAUUCUGGGUUGAGCCCAGAGAUUUGACUUCACGACUUACGGAACCGCCUACGAGCUCUUUACGCCCAAUAAAUCCGGACAACGCUUGCCCCCUACGUAUUACCGCGGCUGCUGGCAC